GGCGCUUAUAGAGAUUUGAGGGAGAGAUGAUCAAGAGAUGAAAAACAAGGGUUCUUCCUUGUUACAAUGGGGUGGCCGGCUGGUGAAGGGAAAAAUGGGGGAGGGGUUCCUUUAUGAGAUACUUUUAUUGUUUAGAGGGUUAGUAUCCUAUCCACAAGCAAAAUUUAAUAUAUGAUAUGUGUCUAUUUUUAUUUAUUUUUAGAUUUCUUGUAUUUUUUUCAGAACACUUAAUAGCAUUUUACCUCUGUUUAUAUAGCUUUUUAAUUUGAUUAAGGGUGUACCAAAUAUUUUUUUAAAAGAUUUUCCAUCCUAGUGUUAGGAGAGAAUAAGGCUUUGAAUUUGGUGAUACUAAUGCUUUGCCCCCAUUCAUACUUGUGAUGCACUAUUUCCGAAAAAAAAAUUUGAUACUUUCGAAGUCAACAGUAUCUUAUAGAAUCCCAAUCCCAAAGCCUGUGAUAUGUGUCAGGCUGAAGGAUGAGAGAGAGACCUGACACUUAAAACUCAUUCUUGUAAAAUAAUGAAAGCUAAUACCAGUAAAAGUUUAUAAUAUCUGUAAGCUGAAUGCAAGUAACUUGAUAAAUACUGAAGUCAAUAAAAAUAAUUAAAGCGAUUAAGACAGAUCAUCUCUAUAAAGUUAAAAAGUUCAAACAACUCAUUUUGACAUAUAAAAUGGUAAUAAUCUUCUUGAGGUUUUGCUAAGCAUAACAGCUACACAAUUGUGGUUACAAAAAAAAUAACCCACCGCUUACGAAAACGAAUCAUUUCGAGAUCAACAUCAGUUGCACUGCUAACAAAAUCUACUUCCAUUAUGGGGCUGAAGAAACACAGAAGUUUUGACACUUAUUAUAUAGCUGAGAUAAUUUUAUGAAAGAUAAUAGCCAGAACGUAUGAAUACUACUCUUUUCAGGGGUAACAUGAUCUGUGACUUAUUACAUUGCUUUAUUAAAUUUUCCAACCCGAUUUAGGAUAUUUUUAACAAGAAAACUAGGGUAUCCUAUCGGGCAUCCUUAGAUAAGAGGCUGUUAGUUUCAACUUUUCGGGCAUUGCACAGCUCAUCAACACAAUCACCCCUUUC
Molecule: long non-coding RNA, 1075 nt
Filed under: Gossypium barbadense (sea-island cotton)
Lineage: Eukaryota; Viridiplantae; Streptophyta; Magnoliopsida; Malvales; Malvaceae
Description: long non-coding RNA (GBAR_LNC019979)
Source: RNAcentral